RNAcentral lists this ribosomal RNA (280 nucleotides) under uncultured bacterium. Its description in RNAcentral is "partial 16S ribosomal RNA". It matches the Rfam family "Bacterial small subunit ribosomal RNA", at positions 335 to 608 of the family's 1533-position model. The record is from RNAcentral.
ACUCCUACGGGAGGCAGCAGUGGGAAUAUUGGACAAUGGGGCACCCGUAGCAUCCAGCAAUGCCGCGUGUGUGAAGAAGGCCUGCGGGUUGUAAAGCACUUUCAGUUGUGAGGAAGUUUCAUUGAUUAAGAGUUGGUGAAUUGACGUUAGCAACAGAAGAAGCACCGGCUAACUCUGUGCCAGCAGCCGCGGUAAUACAGAGGGUGCAAGCGUUAAUCGGAAUUACUGGGCGUAAAGGGCACGUAGGUUGAUAAUUAAGUUGGAUGUGAAAGCCCGGCCU